AGAAUAGUUGUGUAAAGGAUAGAGCGCAUGUAUCUUCAUCUUGCAUUUAGGUCAUUUCUUGAAAUACAGAUUGAUUUUUCUGUUGCCAUAAUGACAAAUGCCAUAUUUAGGGUUUUCUUAACAGGUUAGGAUGUCUCACAUAACCACAGGAUUCCUCAGAGUGACCAUGCUGCUCUUCAGAGUGCUAGCAGGCUAGCACUCAUCACUGAGAAUGAUGGAGCGCCUUCCACACGUCACACCACACCCCCAGCCUCGUCCAAUCAGUGACAGUAAAUGGAGUGACAGCACAUGUGACAGUGAUGCCCCAGGGGAGGGGCUCUGGCAGCAACUUUAAUCGGGUGAAUGAUUAGACAGUGGCCAACUGACUGAAGACAGCAGAGAAGACAGACCAAGAGAGCUGGCUCAGUGCUUAGGACACACUGAGAAACUGAAAGAGGAACAAAAGACGUGAGAAAGAAGCCAUCAUGUUUACAGACGUUUCAGUGAAAAGUGA
Molecule: long non-coding RNA, 493 nt
Filed under: Sus scrofa (pig)
Lineage: Eukaryota; Metazoa; Chordata; Mammalia; Artiodactyla; Suidae
Description: lncRNA (ENSSSCG00070019773.1)
Source: RNAcentral